RNAcentral lists this ribosomal RNA (496 nucleotides) under uncultured bacterium. RNAcentral's name for it is "partial 16S ribosomal RNA". It matches the Rfam family "Bacterial small subunit ribosomal RNA", at positions 29 to 507 of the family's 1533-position model. The record is from RNAcentral.
ACGAACGCUGGCGGCGUGCCUAAUACAUGCCAGUUGAGCGCUGAAGGUUGGUACUUGUACCCCCUGGAUGAGCAGCGAACGGGUGAGUAACGCGUGGGGAAUCUGCCUUUGAGCGGGGGACAACAUUUGGAAACGAAUGCUAAUACCGCAUAAAAACUUUAAACACAAGUUUUAAGUUUGAAAGAUGCAAUUGCAUCACUCAAAGAUGAUCCCGCGUUGUAUUAGCUAGUUGGUGAGGUAAAGGCUCACCAAGGCGAUGAUACAUAGCCGACCUGAGAGGGUGAUCGGCCACAUUGGGACUGAGACACGGCCCAAACUCCUACGGGAGGCAGCAGUAGGGAAUCUUCGGCAAUGGACGAAAGUCUGACCGAGCAACGCCGCGUGAGUGAAGAAGGUUUUCGGAUCGUAAAACUCUGUUGGUAGAGAAGAACGUUGGUGAGAGUGGAAAGCUCAUCAAGUGACGGUAACUACCCAGAAAGGGACGGCUAACUACGUG